RNAcentral lists this unclassified non-coding RNA (331 nucleotides) under Hevea brasiliensis (rubber tree). The record is from RNAcentral. Lineage: Eukaryota; Viridiplantae; Streptophyta; Magnoliopsida; Malpighiales; Euphorbiaceae.
UUUGCAACUCCCUUGCCCUUGCUCUUGUAAUUGGACACUUGAAUAAUGGAAGUAGCUCUGGUGGUGGCGUCUCCUCAUCAUUUAUCGUUAUAUAAUGGCCAUUACCAUCCUUAAAUUAAAAUGCCUGUUAGAUAAAUGGAUUAUCAGUAGAGCUAGCAAUUUUUGACACAAUUCGUUUGCACAACACAACCUGACACAUUAAACAUGUUUGGGCUUAGUAUAAAUGGUUUUAGGUCAUAACUAACACAUUUAAUUGGGUUGACCCACUUGAUCCUAUAAGACAAACAAUAGCCUAUUUAUUUAAUCGAGUUAACAAUUUAACCUGUUUUGU